Molecule: ribosomal RNA, 467 nt
Filed under: uncultured bacterium
Lineage: Bacteria
Description: partial 16S ribosomal RNA
Rfam family: Bacterial small subunit ribosomal RNA
Source: RNAcentral
GACGAACGCUGGCGGCGUGCUUAACACAUGCAAGUCGAACGGAAAGGCCCUGCUUUUGUGGGGUGCUCGAGUGGCGAACGGGUGAGUAACACGUGAGUAACCUGCCCUUGACUUUGGGAUAACUUCAGGAAACUGGGGCUAAUACCGGAUAGGAGCUCCUGCUGCAUGGUGGGGGUUGGAAAGUUUCGGCGGUUGGGGUUGGAGUCGCGGCUUAUGAGCUGGUUGGUGGGGUAGUGGCUUACCAAGGCUUCGACGGGUAGCCGGCCUGGGAGGGUGACCGGCCACAUUGGGACUGAGAUACGACCCAGGCUGCAACGGGGGGCAGCGGUGGAGAAUAUCGCACAAUGGGCGGAGGCUGAUGCAGCAACGCCGCGUGCGGGAUGACGGCCUUCGGGUUGUAAACCGCUUUCGCCUGUGACGAAGCGUGAGUGACGGUAAUGGGUAAAGAAGCACCGGCUAACUACGUG